GAAAGAACAGUUUUAGGACAGGGAAACAGUCUUGGAAAUACGUGUUUGGGCGUGAGAUGAAGACGCACCUGCUAAAAUCGGUUUCCUAUUGAACAUACUUCUUUCAUUAAAUUUUAUAGUUUGAUUACAUUUUAGGAUAUCUGAGGAGUCAAUAGAAACGUAUUUUGACUUGUUGAAACAAAGUUUAGGGGUAGAUUUUCGGAUUCCAAUCUCUACAUGUUGAACGAGUGGAUUACUCAAAUCGAUGGCGCCAACUAAACUGACUUUUUGGGAUAUAAAGAAGGAUUUUAUCUAACAAAAUGACACUACCUGUUAAAGCUGGGACCCUUUGGAUGAAUAAUCAGAGGAAGAUUUUCAAAAACAACGGUGUCAUGGAGCAGCUCCUGGGAUGAAUGGAAAUGCCUCUGGGAGUUCAAUCAAAGGAUACAAUUCAGGACCAUGCCCCAGGACUACCUGGCCUGAUGACUCCUUGCUGUCCCCAGUUCACCUGGCCGUGCUGCUGCUCCAGUUCCAACUGUUCUGCCUGCGGCUAUGGAACCCUGACCUGUUCACCGGACGUUCUACCUGUCCCAGACCUGUUGUUCCAGACCUGCUGGAACCCUGACCUGUUCACCGGACGUGCUACCUGUCCCAGACCUGCUGUUUUCAACUCUCUAGAGACAGCAGGAGCGGAAGAGAUACUCUCAAAGAUCGGCUAUGAAAAAGCCAACUGACACUUACUAUUGUGUUACUGACUUGUUACACCCUCGACAACUACUAUGGUUAUUAUUAUUUGACCAUGCUGGUCAUUUAUGAACAUUUGAACAUCUUGGCCAUGUGCUGUUAUAAUCUACACCCGGCACAGCCAGAAGAGGACUGGCCACCCCUCAUAGCCUGGUUCCUCUCUAGGUUUCUUCCUAGGUUUUGGCCUUUCUAGAGAGUUUUUCCUAGCCACCGUGCU
RNAcentral lists this long non-coding RNA (940 nucleotides) under Salmo salar (Atlantic salmon). RNAcentral's name for it is "lncRNA (ENSSSAG00000112420.1)". The record is from RNAcentral. Lineage: Eukaryota; Metazoa; Chordata; Actinopteri; Salmoniformes; Salmonidae.